GAUGAACGCUGGCGGCGUGCCUAAUACAUGCAAGUCGAGCGAACAGACGAGGAGCUUGCUCCUCUGACGUUAGCGGCGGACGGGUGAGUAACACGUGGAUAACCUACCUAUAAGACUGGGAUAACUUCGGGAAACCGGAGCUAAUACCGGAUAAUAUAUUGAACCGCAUGGUUCAAUAGUGAAAGACGGUUUUGCUGUCACUUAUAGAUGGAUCCGCGCCGCAUUAGCUAGUUGGUAAGGUAACUGCUUACCAAGGCAACGAUGCGUAGCCGACCUGAGAGGGUGAUCGGCCACACUGGAACUGAGACACGGUCCAGACUCCUACGGGAGGCAGCAGUAGGGAAUCUUCCGCAAUGGGCGAGAGCUUGACGGAGCAGCGCCACGUGAGUGAUGAAGGUCUUCGGAUCGUAAAACUCUGUUAUUAGGGAAGAACAAAUGUGUAAGUAACUGUGCACGUCUUGACGGUACCUAAUCAGAAAGCCACGGCUAACUACGUG
This 497-nucleotide ribosomal RNA is filed under the name uncultured bacterium. RNAcentral's name for it is "partial 16S ribosomal RNA". It matches the Rfam family "Bacterial small subunit ribosomal RNA", at positions 28 to 507 of the family's 1533-position model. The record is from RNAcentral.